AUGAACGCUAGCGGCAGGCUUAACACAUGCAAGUCGAGGGGCAGCGAGGGUAGCAAUACCUGUCGGCGACCGGCGGAAGGGUGAGUAACGCGUGAGCAACAUACCCGUAUCAGUGGGAUAAUACGAGGGAAACUUGUUCUAAUAUCGCAUAAUAUUAUUCAGAGGCAUCUUUGGAUAAUUAAAGUUACGGCGGAUACGGAAUGGCUCGCGUGACAUUAGCUAGAUGGUAGGGUAAUGGCCUACCAUGGCGAUGAUGUCUAGGGGUUCUGAGAGGGAGGUCCCCCACACUGGAACUGAGACACGGUCCAGACUCCUACGGGAGGCAGCAGUGAGGAAUAUUGGACAAUGGAUGGAAAUCUGAUCCAGCCAUGCCGCGUGCAGGAAGGCGGCCCUAUGGGUUGUAAACUGCUUUUGUACGGGAGCAAUAAGGUCUACGAGUAGAUUGAUGAGAGUACUGUACGAAUAAGCAUCGGCUAACUCCGUG
Molecule: ribosomal RNA, 484 nt
Filed under: uncultured bacterium
Lineage: Bacteria
Description: bacterial SSU rRNA
Rfam family: Bacterial small subunit ribosomal RNA
Source: RNAcentral